RNAcentral lists this long non-coding RNA (1130 nucleotides) under Cairina moschata (Muscovy duck). RNAcentral describes it as "domestica (muscovy Duck (domestic type)) lncRNA (ENSCMMG00000009666.1)". Lineage: Eukaryota; Metazoa; Chordata; Aves; Anseriformes; Anatidae. The record is from RNAcentral.
AGGAUGCCCUGCGGGGACACGGACGUGGUCGAGGUUAGCUCAAUUAAAGCAAACUGCACUUUUUUUCCAUGGACUAAUGCUGCUCCUUCCUCUGAGCAGGCGUGCCCUGUUGGUGUGUAUUUGCACUCACCGCUUCAACGUGACACCAAGGGACUAAUCUGGGCACCUCCAGCAGGCUCGGCGUGCAAACGAGUCUCUCCGAAGUGGCUGUUAUUAAAAACCAGGAGGAAAGAGCAGAGAGCCCUGCCUCGCACAGAGGGCGGUGCAGGGGGAGAAGGUGAGCUUUUCUUUCCCAAAUGCCAUUUGACAUCCAACACCUCCGCUUUCGUGCCGCAGCCCUCUGUGUGGAACACGAUAACAGGAGCUGAAAUAGCUCGCCUGCCCUGCUCGUUCCCCCAGCGGAGGGCUGGGGCUCUGCCUUGCCCUUUUGUUUGUGGGUGUGAGAGGAACGGGGCUGUACGAAAGCCAGACGGGACUUUGCAACGCUGGGCCUGCUUCAUCCCAGCUAUCAGAAAGCUGAGCAAAACGCGUGUGUUACUUUUACACCUAACCAUUAUAACCCCAGGAGCCUUUUCCAGUUUCAAAUAAUAAUAAUAAAAAAAAAGGUUUUGUGAACUCAUUUGUGUGCUUUUUUUUUUUUUUGUGUUAUUCCAAAUAGAGGUUUCGGCUGAGUUGCACCUUCCUGAUGUGCAGCACCCUGUCUUCUGUCUCCUGAUGAGUUAAUUUCUCCCUUGUUCUUUUAUUUGGUGAGCAGUUAACCUGACCUCCAGCACACGGAGGGCACAAACCUUAGCUGCAGAAUCCCACCUCUUUCCUAGUCCUUUUUCUCUUUUUCCCCCCUACACCAACCACACACAGCUCCUCUCCUGGGGCGCAUGUGGUGCCCAGCUCUCCCUCCUUUUCCAAAACAGUGAUUCUGCUGAAAAAGCAGAAUUUGGACUUGCUGGGGAGUUGUUCACCCUCACGCUGUGGGUCUUGUGUCUGGGUGUGCACAAAGCCGCCUGGAGGAGCCCCCAGGUCCCUGCACGUGGCCCCGGUGCUGCUGGCAGCGUUUUUCGGAAGCUGGGAGUUGUGCUUCCAGCCUCACAGCUUGCCUCUGCCAGUAAGUUUCUUGGCAGAAUUGUUGAGAG